CUGACCUCGUGAUCUGCCUGCCUCGGCCUCCCAAAGUGCCGGGAUUACAGGCGUGAGCCACCGCGCCGGGCCUGAUUUCAGUUUCUUCCAGCCCUUCCUAUUGUUAACAUGGGGGUUGUGUUGAAGAAUAUAAAGUUACAAAGUCAAGGAAGUAGGAAACAUUUUUACAAGUAUUAUGUAGCCAUCUUGGUGGGGCUGUGGUGAGGUAGGCUGCAAAUGAUUCUCCUAUUUCUUUCCCUGAGUUCAGAACAUAGGAAUUAGAUUGAUAGACAUCAACAUACCCGCUUUAUUGCUGACUCAUGACAACUAAUGGGAAGACAUGGCUCAGAUGUGCAGCCACAGUGAGCUUCUGAACAUUUCUUCUCAGACUAAGCUCUUACACACAGUUGCAGUUGAAAGAAAGAAUUGCUUGACAUGGCCACAGGAGCAGGCAGCUUCCUGCAGACAUGACAGUCAACGCAAACUCAUGUCACUGUGGGCAGACACAUGUUUGCAAAGAGACUCAGAGCCAAACAAGCACACUCAAUGUGCUUUGCCCAAAUUUACCCAUUAGGUAAAUCUUCCCUCCUCCCAAGAAGAAAGUGGAGAGAGCAUGAGUCCUCACAUGGAAACUUGAAGUCAGGGAAAUGAAGGCUCACCAAUUAUUUGUGCAUGGGUUUAAGUUUUCCUUGAAAUUAAGUUCAGGUUUGUCUUUGUGUGUACCAAUUAAUGACAAGAGGUUAGAUAGAAGUAUGCUAGAUGGCAAAGAGAAAUAUGUUUUGUGUCUUCAAUUUUGCUAAAAAUAACCCAGAACAUGGAUAAUUCAUUUAUUAAUUGAUUUUGGUAAGCCAAGUCCUAUUUGGAGAAAAUUAAUAGUUUUUCUAAAAAAGAAUUUUCUCAAUAUCACCUGGCUUGAUAACAUUUUUCUCCUUCGAGUUCCUUUUUCUGGAGUUUAACAAACUUGUUCUUUACAAAUAGAUUAUAUUGACUACCACUCACUGAUGUUAUGAUAUUAGUUUCUAUUGCUUACUUUGUAUUUCUAAUUUUAGGAUUCACAAUUUAGCUGGAGAACUAUUUUUUAACCUGUUGCACCUAAACAUGAUUGAGCUAGAAGACAGUUUUACCAUAUGCAUGCAUUUUCUCUGAGUUAUAUUUUAAAAUCUAUACAUUUCUCCUAAAUAUGGAGGAAAUCACUGGCAUCAAAUGCCAGUCUCAGACGGAAGACCUAAAGCCCAUUUCUGGCCUGGAGCUACUUGGCUUUGUGACCUAUGGUGAGGCAUAAGUGCUCUGAGUUUGUGUUGCCUCUUUUGUAAAAUGAGGGUUUGACUUAAUCAGUGAUUUUCAUAGCUUAAAAUUUUUUUGAAGAACAGAACUUUUUUUAAAAACAGUUAGAUGCAACCAUAUUAUAUAAAACAGAACAGAUACAAGUAGAGCUAACUUGCUAAAGAAAGGAUGGAGGCUCUGAAGCUGUGACUUCAUUAUCCCUUAAUACUGCUAUGUCCUCUGUAGUACCUUAGAUUUCUAUGGGACAUCGUUUAAAAACUAUUGUUUAUGCGAGAGCCUUGCUAAUUUCCUAAAAAUUGUGGAUACAUUUUUUCUCCCAUGUAUAAUUUUCUCACCUUCUAUUUAAAAAGAAAAAAAAAGUCAGUGUAGUAUUUACAUAUUUUACCCUAUAAGGAGCUAACAUAACUUUUGAUUUAGUGUUAUUCAUAAAAUUAGGUUAGCAGUUUAUUAACCUUUUGUAUUUGCUCUGGCAAUGUUUAAUAUCUCAUAAGCUAUACACACCUCGAAGCCAUCAAUGACAACCUUUUCUUGCUGAAUAGAACAGUGAUUGAUGUCAUGAAGACAAUUUUAUCUCCUUUUGCCUUCCAUAAUUUGUACCAGGUUAUAUAAUAGUAUAACACUGCCAAGGAGCGGAUUAUCUCAUCUUCAUCCUGUAAUUCCAGUGUUUGUCACGUGGUUGUUGAAUAAAUGAAUAAAGAAUGAGAAAACCAGAAGCUCUGAUACAUAAUCAUAAUGAUAAUUAUUUCAAUGCACAACUACGGGUGGUGCUGAACUAGAAUCUAUAUUUUCUGAAACUGGCUCCUCUAGGAUCUACUAAUGAUUUAAAUCUAAAAGAUGAAGUUAGUAAAGCAUCAGAAAAAAAAGGUAAACAAAUUGCUCCUGUGGAGAUGAUUGGCAUCACAUGGUGUUUUGAGCUGAUACACCCAACACUUGAGCUCACUGCAACAGUACCAGGUUAUUUGGUUCAUCUACAGUUUUUUUCAAAUUGCCAUUAAUUUCCAAAUUUUUUUUUUUUUUUUUUGAGACGG
Molecule: long non-coding RNA, 2291 nt
Filed under: Homo sapiens (human)
Lineage: Eukaryota; Metazoa; Chordata; Mammalia; Primates; Hominidae
Description: HSALNT0357364
Source: RNAcentral